GACGUAGGGCGCGAGCGUUGUCCGGAUUUAUUGGGCGUAAAGGGCUCGUAGGUGGCCAACUAAGUCAGACGUGAAAUCCCUCGGCUUAACCGGGGAACUGCGUCUGAUACUGGAUGGCUUGAGGUUGGGAGAGGGAUGCGGAAUUCCAGGUGUAGCGGUGAAAUGCGUAGAUAUCUGGAGGAACACCGGUGGCGAAGGCGGCAUCCUGGACCAAUUCUGACGCUGAGGAGCGAAAGCCAGGGGAGCAAACGGG
This 253-nucleotide ribosomal RNA is filed under the name uncultured bacterium. RNAcentral's name for it is "partial 16S ribosomal RNA". It matches the Rfam family "Bacterial small subunit ribosomal RNA", at positions 524 to 776 of the family's 1533-position model. The record is from RNAcentral.